AACGUAGGUUCCGAGCGUUAUCCGGAUUUACUGGGCGUAAAGCGUGUUCAGGCGGCUUCGCAAGUCGGGCAUGAAAUCUCUCGGCUCAACCGGGAGGGGCUGUCCGAUACUGCGGGGCUUGAGGGCAGUAGAGGGUGGUGGAAUUCCGGGUGUAGUGGUGGAAUGCGUAGAGAUCCGGAGGAACACCAGUGGCGAAAGCGGCCACCUGGACUGUACCUGACGCUCAAACACGAAAGCUAGGGGAGCGAACGGG
RNAcentral lists this ribosomal RNA (253 nucleotides) under uncultured bacterium. RNAcentral's name for it is "partial 16S ribosomal RNA". It matches the Rfam family "Bacterial small subunit ribosomal RNA", at positions 524 to 776 of the family's 1533-position model. The record is from RNAcentral.